GUUGAACGCUGGCGGCAGGCCUAACACAUGCAAGUCGAACGGUAACAGGAAGAAGCUUGCUUCUUUGCUGACGAGUGGCGGACGGGUGAGUAAUGUCUGGGAAACUGCCUGAUGGAGGGGGAUAACUACUGGAAACGGUAGCUAAUACCGCAUAACGUCGCAAGACCAAAGAGGGGGACCUUCGCGCCGCUUGCCAUCGGAUGUGCCCAGAUGGGAUUAGCGAGUAGGUGGGGUAACGGCUCACCUAGGCGACGAUCCCUAGCUGGUCUGAGAGGAUGACCAGCCACACUGGAACUGAGACACGGUCCAGACUCCUACGGGAGGCAGCAGUGGGGAAUAUUGCACAAUGGGCGCAAGCCUGAUGCAGCCAUGCCGCGUGUAUGAAGAAGGCCUUCGGGUUGUAAAGUACUUUCAGCGGGGAGGAAGGGAGUAAAGUUAAUACCUUUGCUCAUUGACGUUACCCGCAGAAGAAGCACCGGCUAACUCCGUG
Molecule: ribosomal RNA, 490 nt
Filed under: uncultured bacterium
Lineage: Bacteria
Description: partial 16S ribosomal RNA
Rfam family: Bacterial small subunit ribosomal RNA
Source: RNAcentral